CCUACGGGAGGCAGCAGUGGGGAAUAUUGGACAAUGGGCAAGCCUGAUCCAGCCAUGCCGCGUGAGUGAUGAAGGCCUUAGGGUUGUAAAGCUCUUUUAUCCGGGACGAUAAUGACGGUACCGGAGGAAUAAGCCCCGGCUAACUUCGUGCCAGCAGCCGCGGUAAU
RNAcentral lists this ribosomal RNA (167 nucleotides) under uncultured Methylobacterium sp. RNAcentral's name for it is "partial 16S ribosomal RNA". It matches the Rfam family "Bacterial small subunit ribosomal RNA", at positions 338 to 524 of the family's 1533-position model. The record is from RNAcentral. Lineage: Bacteria; Pseudomonadati; Pseudomonadota; Alphaproteobacteria; Hyphomicrobiales; Methylobacteriaceae.